RNAcentral lists this ribosomal RNA (490 nucleotides) under uncultured bacterium. RNAcentral's name for it is "partial 16S ribosomal RNA". It matches the Rfam family "Bacterial small subunit ribosomal RNA", at positions 30 to 507 of the family's 1533-position model. The record is from RNAcentral.
AUUGAACGCUGGCGGCAGGCCUAACACAUGCAAGUCGAACGGUAACAGGAAACAGCUUGCUGUUUCGCUGACGAGUGGCGGACGGGUGAGUAAUGUCUGGGAAACUGCCUGAUGGAGGGGGAUAACUACUGGAAACGGUAGCUAAUACCGCAUAACGUCGCAAGACCAAAGAGGGGGACCUUCGGGCCUCCUGCCAUCGGAUGUGCCCAGAUGGGAUUAGCUAGUAGGUGGGGUAACGGCUCACCUAGGCGACGAUCCCUAGCUGGUCUGAGAGGAUGACCAGCCACACUGGAACUGAGACACGGUCCAGACUCCUACGGGAGGCAGCAGUGGGGAAUAUUGCACAAUGGGCGCAAGCCUGAUGCAGCCAUGCCGCGUGUAUGAAGAAGGCCUUCGGGUUGUAAAGUACUUUCAGCGGGGAGGAAGGGAGUAAAGUUAAUACCUUUGCUCAUUGACGUUACCCGCAGAAGAAGCACCGGCUAACUCCGUG